UCUGGGCUUUCACGAGUCGCCCAUG
This 25-nucleotide small nuclear RNA is filed under the name Arabidopsis thaliana (thale cress). RNAcentral's name for it is "snRNA_15371". Lineage: Eukaryota; Viridiplantae; Streptophyta; Magnoliopsida; Brassicales; Brassicaceae. The record is from RNAcentral.